RNAcentral lists this unclassified non-coding RNA (362 nucleotides) under uncultured bacterium. RNAcentral's name for it is "contains 16S-23S intergenic spacer region". The record is from RNAcentral.
UCCCCGUUGCCGAGGCAGUCUAAAUAGAAAAAUUCAACUAUUUAUAAGGGUUGCGCUCGUUGAUGGACUUAACCAAACAUCUCACGACACGAGCUGACGACGGCCAUGCAUCACCUGUCACUGCGGCCCGAAGGCACAUCCGCCUUUCGGCGGACUUGGCAGGAUGUCAAGCCUUGGUAAGGUUCUUCGCUUAUCAUCGAAUUAAACAACACGCUCCACCGCUUGUGCGGGUCCCCGUCAAUUCCUUUAUGUUUUAAGCUUGCGCUCGUACUCCACAGGCGGGAUGCUUAACGCGUUAGCUUCGCUACUAAAAGGGUCGAUACUUUUAACAGCUAGCAUCCAUCGUUUACGGCGUGGACUAC